GACGAACGCUGGCGGCGUGCUUAACACAUGCAAGUCGAGCGGUAAGGCCCCUCGGGGUACGACGAGCGGCGAACGGGUGAGUAACACGUGGGUGACCUGCCCUCAGCUCUGGGAUAAGCCUGGGAAACUGGGUCUAAUACCGGAUAUGACUCCAUGACGCAUGUUGUGGGGUGGAAAGCCUUGUGCGGCUGAGGAUGGGCCCGCGGCCUAUCAGCUUGUUGGUGGGGUGANGGCCUACCAAGGCGACGACGGGUAGCCGGCCUGAGAGGGCGACCGGCCACACUGGGACUGAGACACGGCCCAGACUCCUACGGGAGGCAGCAGUGGGGAAUCUUGCGCAAUGGGCGAAAGCCUGACGCAGCGACGCCGCGUGAGGGAUGACGGCC
This 386-nucleotide ribosomal RNA is filed under the name uncultured bacterium. RNAcentral describes it as "bacterial SSU rRNA". It matches the Rfam family "Bacterial small subunit ribosomal RNA", at positions 28 to 416 of the family's 1533-position model. The record is from RNAcentral.